UUCCGGUUGAUCCUGCCGGACCUGACUGCUAUCGGAUUGAUACUAGGCCAUGCGAGUCAUUGUAGCAAUACAAGGCAUACGGCUCAGUAACGCGUAGUCAACCUACCCUAUGGACGGAAAUAACCUCGGGAAACUGAGAAUAAUAUCCGAUAGAACAUUAUGCCUGGAAUGGUUUAUGUUCCAAAUGAUUUAUCGCCGUAGGAUGGGACUGCGGCCUAUCAGUUUGUUGGUGAGGUAAUGGCCCACCAAGACUAUUACAGGUACGGGCUCUGAGAGGAGUAGCCCGGAGAUGUGUACUGAGACACGGACCCAGGCCCUAUGGGGCGCAGCAGGCGAGAAAACUUUGCAAUGUGCGAAAGCACGACAAGGUUAAUCCGAGUGAUUUCUGCUAAAGAAAUCUUUUGUUAGUCCUAGAAACACUAACGAAUAAGGGGUGGGCAAGUUCUGGUGUCAGCCGCCGCGGUAAAACCAGCACCUCAAGUGGUCAGGAUGAUUAUUGGGCCUAAAGCAUCCGUAGCCGGCUCUGUAAGUCCUCGGUUAAAUCUGUACGCUUAACGUACAGGCUGCCGGGAAUACUGCAUAGCUAGGGAGUGGGAGAGGUAGACGGUACUCGGUAGGAAGGGGUAAAAUCCUUUGAUCUAUUGAUGACCACCUGUGGCGAAGGCGGUCUACCAGAACACGUCCGACGGUGAGGGAUGAAAGCUGGGGGAGCAAACCGGAUUAGAUACCCGGGUAGUCCCAGCUGUAAACUAUGCAAACUCAGUGAUGCAUUGGCUUGUGGCCAAUGCAGUGCUGCAGGGAAGCCGUUAAGUUUGCCGCCUGGGAAGUACGUACGCAAGUAUGAAACUUAAAGGAAUUGGCGGGGGAGCACCACAAGGGGUGAAGYCUGCGGUUCAAUUGGAGUCAACGCCGG
Molecule: ribosomal RNA, 913 nt
Filed under: uncultured Nitrososphaerota archaeon
Lineage: Archaea; Thermoproteati; Nitrososphaerota
Description: bacterial SSU rRNA
Rfam family: Archaeal small subunit ribosomal RNA
Source: RNAcentral